This 465-nucleotide ribosomal RNA is filed under the name Vreelandella stevensii. Its description in RNAcentral is "partial 16S ribosomal RNA". It matches the Rfam family "Bacterial small subunit ribosomal RNA", at positions 338 to 795 of the family's 1533-position model. Lineage: Bacteria; Pseudomonadati; Pseudomonadota; Gammaproteobacteria; Oceanospirillales; Halomonadaceae. The record is from RNAcentral.
CCUACGGGUGGCAGCAGUGGGGAAUAUUGGACAAUGGGGGCAACCCUGAUCCAGCCAUGCCGCGUGUGUGAAGAAGGCCCUCGGGUUGUAAAGCACUUUCAGUGAGGAAGAACGCCUGGUGGUUAAUACCCAUCAGGAAAGACAUCACUCACAGAAGAAGCACCGGCUAACUCCGUGCCAGCAGCCGCGGUAAUACGGAGGGUGCGAGCGUUAAUCGGAAUUACUGGGCGUAAAGCGCGCGUAGGUGGCUUGAUAAGCCGGUUGUGAAAGCCCCGGGCUCAACCUGGGAACGGCAUCCGGAACUUUCAAGCUAGAGUGCAGGAGAGGAAGGUAGAAUUCCCGGUGUAGCGGUGAAAUGCGUAGAGAUCGGGAGGAAUACCAGUGGCGAAGGCGGCCUUCUGGACUGACACUGACACUGAGGUGCGAAAGCGUGGGUAGCAAACAGGAUUAGAUACCCUAGUAGUC